GUUUUCGUAGGUAAAUAAUAUUAUGGAACUUUUUUUUUCAUGAGAGUGUAUUAGUCUAUAGAGUAUAAUAUUUACUAUUACUUUCUGUUUGGUGGAAUAGUGAAAUAGACGUCAAUACGUUCUUGCUCAAUUCUAUGUCGCUUUGAAGGUUUCCUGAUUGUUAUGACAUCCUCAGCCUAAGCAAUGUGUAUUACUGUAAUUUGAAUUUCAAAAUGACCGUGUGCCGUUUUUUCAACGCACUGGUCAACUCCACCAUAGCAAAUCAUAUGACUUUGACAAUCAGUAAAUACCAGCGAAAAAUAUCUUUAUAGGAAAAGAAUUGUCGUAUAAAAAUUAAAUACUCGGGAAAUGGCAAAGUUCACGAAGUCUAGUCUGAUUAACUUAAUUUUACAAAAAAAAAAAAAAAAAAAAAAAAGUCCGAGCAAAGGGGGGGCGUACGCCCUCUACGCCCCCCCCUGAAUCCGCCACUGG
RNAcentral lists this long non-coding RNA (471 nucleotides) under Mytilus galloprovincialis (Mediterranean mussel). Lineage: Eukaryota; Metazoa; Mollusca; Bivalvia; Mytilida; Mytilidae. The record is from RNAcentral.